GACGAACGCUGGCGGCGUGCUUAACACAUGCAAGUCGAACGGAAAGGCCCUGCUUUUGUGGGGUGCUCGAGUGGCGAACGGGUGAGUAACACGUGAGUAACCUGCCCUUGACUUUGGGAUAACUUCAGGAAACUGGGGCUAAUACCGGAUAGGAGCUCCUGCUGCAUGGUGGGGGUUGGAAAGUUUCGGCGGUUGGGGAUGGACUCGCGGCUUAUCAGCUUGUUGGUGGGGUAGUGGCUUACCAAGGCUUGGACGGGUAGCCGGCCUGAGAGGGUGACCGGCCACAUUGGGACUGAGGUACGGCCCAGACUGCAACGGGAGGCAGCAGUGGGGAAUAUUGCACAAUGGGCGGAAGCCUGAUGCAGCAGCGCCGCGUGCGGGAUGACGGCCUUCGGGUUGUAAAACGCUUUCGCCUGUGACGAAGCGUGAGUGACGGUAAUGGGUAAAGAAGCACCGGCUAACUACGUG
Molecule: ribosomal RNA, 468 nt
Filed under: uncultured bacterium
Lineage: Bacteria
Description: partial 16S ribosomal RNA
Rfam family: Bacterial small subunit ribosomal RNA
Source: RNAcentral